This 132-nucleotide long non-coding RNA is filed under the name Parus major (Great Tit). Its description in RNAcentral is "lncRNA (ENSPMJG00000016318.1)". Lineage: Eukaryota; Metazoa; Chordata; Aves; Passeriformes; Paridae. The record is from RNAcentral.
GACUGCAUUGCUUUGGAUUUAGAUAAAAGACUCCAUGCAAGACAAAUGGUAGGAGGACAUCAAACAAGACUGUGUCCAUGCAGUGACAGAAGCAAUCCAAUUGAAGAAGCUGUUGAUUUCUACAAGGAACAC